This 157-nucleotide ribosomal RNA is filed under the name uncultured Bacteroidota bacterium. Its description in RNAcentral is "uncultured Bacteroidetes bacterium partial 16S ribosomal RNA". It matches the Rfam family "Bacterial small subunit ribosomal RNA", at positions 340 to 494 of the family's 1533-position model. The record is from RNAcentral. Lineage: Bacteria; Pseudomonadati; Bacteroidota.
UACGGGAGGCAGCAGUGAGGAAUAUUGGACAAUGGAGGAAACUCUGAUCCAGCCAUGCCGCGUGCAGGAAGACGGCCCUAUGGGUUGUAAACUGCUUUUAUACAGGAAGAAACGUUAGUACGUGUACUAACCUGACGGUACUGUAAGAAUAAGGAUC